Molecule: long non-coding RNA, 258 nt
Filed under: Cercocebus atys (sooty mangabey)
Lineage: Eukaryota; Metazoa; Chordata; Mammalia; Primates; Cercopithecidae
Description: lncRNA (ENSCATG00000045431.1)
Source: RNAcentral
UGAAAACAGGUGGCCAGGACAGGUUUCAACAGCAGUGAGUACAAGCCCAAGAAGAUUCAUGGGUCCUUCUCUCCCGGCAGUAGAAGCUGUUUUAUAUGAAGUUGAUAUCUUCCAUCAUCCAUGCCUUCAUUAAGCUGGGCUUCUUGUCAAGAAGAUCCUGACAACUGUGAAAACACUGUUUUCGUGACUUUGUGUCAAUUCAAGAAGAGGUAGGUUAAUUCUGUUUUCUAGUCCUUAGUAUUAUAAAUCAUCCGUAAU